Molecule: ribosomal RNA, 584 nt
Filed under: Papiliotrema flavescens
Lineage: Eukaryota; Fungi; Basidiomycota; Tremellomycetes; Tremellales; Rhynchogastremaceae
Description: partial 26S ribosomal RNA
Rfam family: Eukaryotic large subunit ribosomal RNA
Source: RNAcentral
GAUUCCCCUAGUAACGGCGAGUGAACCGGGAAGAGCUCAAAUUUGAAAUCUGGCGUGCUCAGUGCGUCCGAGUUGUAAUCUAUAGAGUCGUUUUCCGUGCCGGACUGUGUCCAAGUCCCUUGGAACAGGGUAUCAAAGAGGGUGAUAAUCCCGUACUUGACACAAUGACCGGUGCUCUGUGAUACGUCUUCUACGAGUCGAGUUGUUUGGGAAUGCAGCUCAAAAUGGGUGGUGAGUUCCAUCUAAAGCUAAAUAUUGGCGAGAGACCGAUAGCGAACAAGUACCGUGAGGGAAAGAUGAAAAGCACUUUGGAAAGAGAGUUAAACAGUACGUGAAAUUGUUAAAAGGGAAACGAUUGAAGUCAGUCGUGACUGAGAGGCUCAGCCGGUUCUGCCGGUGUAUUCCCCUCAGUCGGGUCAACAUCAGUUUUGUUCGGUGGAUAAGGGCAGUUGGAAGGUGGCACCCUCGGGUGUGUUAUAGCCAGCUGUCGCAUACAUCGGAUGAGACUGAGGAAUGCAGCUCGCCUUUAUGGCCGGGGUUCGCCCACGUUCGAGCUUAGGAUGUUGACAUAAUGGCUUUAAACG